Long non-coding RNA from Bos taurus (domestic cattle), 731 nucleotides. The record is from Ensembl. NCBI's taxonomy places the organism in Eukaryota, Metazoa, Chordata, Mammalia, Artiodactyla, Bovidae.
UAGAAAGAUGGUGACUGCUGACAUUCUAUAAAAUGGAGACGCCCAGGGUGUCUCCUGGCUGGGAAUUUCAGGAGAUUCCCAGUGUCAGGAAAUUAGGAAAAUAUUGCUGUUUUACAGGAAUUCUACUCAGUUAGCUCUUUAGUCAACAAAGGCUGACAAGAUGCUGACAAGCUUAAGGGCUGGUGCUUGAAAGAAGCUUUUCCAGGAGAUAAGGUGUAUUUGAACAUGUGAUGAUUGAUAUAUACAGAAUAGAGUUUUUUGCUAUUUGUCCUUUUCAUGGUGGUAGCAGGGGUGAAUUUUAGGAAAAAACUGCCAAGUAUCUGUAAAAAUAUAUAUCUGCCCUGUAGAGAAUUUUUGGCAGAAUUCACUUCCAUUAUUUAAAACAGUUUUUCUGCCAUCCAGCCUGAAUCUUGACACAGUAGCUAGACUAGCUAUUCUACAACUAUCUUAAAAGAGAAUUUGGUUAGCUGCUUUAAUUUACAAAGGUUAUUUUUAAAUCCCAUUCUUUUGACUAUGCUAAACCUCUGGGUUUUGUGCUUGCAGUUUUGUUUAUCAUUUUGAUGGUUAAAUUUGACCCAUUGUAUACAGGACAGAUAAGUGGAGGAGUUUGUUGCAUAGCAUUUUGAGGGUAGGGCCUGAGGAACUGUUCUACACUUUGAUUAUAGUGGUAAUUACAUCUGUCAGAAAUUUGGAGUGAGUUUUACUGAAUGUAAAUUCAAUUUCAAUAAAUA